UAGGGAAUCUUCGGCAAUGGACGAAAGUCUGACCGAGCAACGCCGCGUGAGUGAAGAAGGUUUUCGGAUCGUAAAACUCUGUUGUUAGAGAAGAACAAGGACGUUAGUAACUGAACGUCCCCUGACGGUAUCUAACCAGAAAGCCACGGCUAACUACGUGCCAGCAGCCGCGGUAAUACGUAGGUGGCAAGCGUUGUCCGGAUUUAUUGGGCGUAAAGCGAGCGCAGGCGGUUUCUUAAGUCUGAUGUGAAAACCCCCGGCUCAACCGGGGAGGGUCAUUGGAAACUGGGAGACUUGAGUGCAGAAGAGGAGAGUGGAAUUCCAUGUGUAGCGGUGAAAUGCGUAGAUAUAUGGAGGAACACCAGUGGCGAAGGCGGCUCUCUGGUCUGUAACUGACGCUGAGGCUCGAAAGCGUGGGGAGCAAACAGG
Molecule: ribosomal RNA, 429 nt
Filed under: Gemmatimonadota bacterium
Lineage: Bacteria; Pseudomonadati; Gemmatimonadota
Description: Gemmatimonadetes bacterium partial 16S ribosomal RNA
Rfam family: Bacterial small subunit ribosomal RNA
Source: RNAcentral